RNAcentral lists this ribosomal RNA (607 nucleotides) under Alternaria alternata. RNAcentral describes it as "partial large subunit ribosomal RNA". It matches the Rfam family "Eukaryotic large subunit ribosomal RNA", at positions 38 to 660 of the family's 3401-position model. Lineage: Eukaryota; Fungi; Ascomycota; Dothideomycetes; Pleosporales; Pleosporaceae. The record is from RNAcentral.
GCAUAUCAAUAAGCGGAGGAAAAGAAACCAACAGGGAUUGCCCUAGUAACGGCGAGUGAAGCGGCAACAGCUCAAAUUUGAAAUCUGGCUCUUUUAGAGUCCGAGUUGUAAUUUGCAGAGGGCGCUUUGGCUUUGGCAGCGGUCCAAGUUCCUUGGAACAGGACGUCACAGAGGGUGAGAAUCCCGUACGUGGUCGCUGGCUAUUGCCGUGUAAAGCCCCUUCGACGAGUCGAGUUGUUUGGGAAUGCAGCUCUAAAUGGGAGGUACAUUUCUUCUAAAGCUAAAUAUUGGCCAGAGACCGAUAGCGCACAAGUAGAGUGAUCGAAAGAUGAAAAGCACUUUGGAAAGAGAGUCAAACAGCACGUGAAAUUGUUGAAAGGGAAGCGCUUGCAGCCAGACUUGCUUACAGUUGCUCAUCCGGGUUUUUACCCGGUGCACUCUUCUGUAGGCAGGCCAGCAUCAGUUUGGGCGGUAGGAUAAAGGUCUCUGUCACGUACCUCCUUUCGGGGAGGCCUUAUAGGGGAGACGACAUACUACCAGCCUGGACUGAGGUCCGCGCAUCUGCUAGGAUGCUGGCGUAAUGGCUGUAAGCGGCCCGUCUUGAAAC